This 305-nucleotide unclassified non-coding RNA is filed under the name plant metagenome. RNAcentral's name for it is "partial contains 5.8S ribosomal RNA, internal transcribed spacer 2, and large subunit ribosomal RNA". The stretch from base 1 to 105 matches the Rfam family "5.8S ribosomal RNA", at positions 50 to 154 of the family's 154-position model. The record is from RNAcentral.
GAAAUGCGAUAAGUAAUGUGAAUUGCAGAAUUCAGUGAAUCAUUGAAUCUUUGAACGCACAUUGCGCCCGCCAGUAUUCUGGCGGGCAUGCCUGUUCGAGCGUCAUUUCAACCAUCAAGCCCCCGGCUUGUGUUGGGGACCUGCGGCUGCCCGCAGGCCCUGAAAAACAGUGGCGGGCUCGCUGUCACACCGAGCGUAGUAGCAUACAUUCUCGCUCAGGGCGUGCUGCGGGUUCCGGCCGUUAAACGACCUUCAUAACCCAAGGUUGACCUCGGAUCAGGUAGGAAGACCCGCUGAACUUAAGC